RNAcentral lists this non-coding RNA (28 nucleotides) under Rattus norvegicus (Norway rat). The record is from RNAcentral. Lineage: Eukaryota; Metazoa; Chordata; Mammalia; Rodentia; Muridae.
UCUACAUCUGUGCUAGGCCUUCCAUUAU